Dromiciops gliroides (monito del monte) is the source of this 2938-nucleotide RNA transcript. It is a transcript of the gene named Rho guanine nucleotide exchange factor 25, with no coding region annotated. The record is from RefSeq and is a predicted model, not a curated record. The transcript has 18 exons. NCBI's taxonomy places the organism in Eukaryota, Metazoa, Chordata, Mammalia, Microbiotheria, Microbiotheriidae.
AGGUUCGGUGUCCCCUCCGUCCUGAGAGCUACGAACAAGGCCUAAGUCCAGCAUGAAGCCCCCAGACCGCCCCACCUCGGGUCGCACUGACCGGAUGCUGGGGGCCAUGGGGGGCAUGCUGCGCGCAUGCGCCCUGCCCGAGCCUGAGGGGCCCCCCAACAGGAGCCUUCUGAGGCUUGGGGAAAGGGAAUCUGAGCCUAAAAGUACGAAGUGGGGUAACGGAGGGGAGGUAGAAACUGCGGCCUCCGCACCGACUCAGGCGCUUGAGUCCUAUUCCAUUGCUGGCAGUGAAGGCAGUGUCUCUGCUUCUGUUGCCUCUGUCCUGGCUCCCACUUCUGCCCCUAGCUCUGGACUCAGUUCUGGUCACUGUUCCCCUGGACCCCCAGGGCCUGUCAGUGGCUUGAGGCGGUGGUUGGACCACUCUAGACACUGCCUCAGUGUGGAAACCGAGACAGACAGUGACCAGGCAGGAUCAUGUCAGGGAUGGAUUCGGGAGUCAACUCUAGCCUCAGGGGAGGAACUACCAGAACUGACUCUACUGACCACUUUAUUGGAGGGACCUGGAGACAGGACCCAGGAAAGUACAACUUCCCAGCCCCCUGAAGAGACUCCCUCUCAGACUACGGAAAGUGAGGAAGAACAAAGGAAGAAGGCUUUGGACAGGAGUAUGUAUGUCCUGAGUGAACUGGUGGAAACAGAGAAAAUGUACGUGGAGGACUUGGGGCAGAUUGUGGAGGGCUAUAUGGCAACCAUGACAGCCCAGGGCAUCCCUGAAAAUCUACGAGGUCGAGACAGGAUUGUGUUUGGGAAUAUCCAGCAAAUCUACGAAUGGCACAGAGAUUACUUCCUUCAAGAACUACAGAAAUGUCUUCAGGAUCCUGAUUGGCUGGCCCAGCUCUUCAUUAAGCAUGAGAGGAGGCUACACAUGUAUGUCAUUUACUGCCAGAACAAACCGAAGUCGGAACAUGUCAUGUCUGAAUUUGGAGAUAGUUACUUUGAGGAGCUCCGUCAGCAGCUAGGUCACCGUCUUCAGCUUAACGAUCUUCUCAUCAAACCUGUCCAGCGAAUCAUGAAGUACCAGUUGCUACUCAAGGAUUUCCUCAAAUAUUAUAGUAAAGCCAAGAAGAAUACUGAAGAGCUUGAGCGUGCAGUAGAGGUCAUGUGCUUUGUGCCCAAACGCUGCAACGAUAUGAUGAGUCUGGGGCGACUUCGAGGCUUUGAGGGCAAGCUGACCACCCAGGGGAAGCUCCUGGGUCAGGACACAUUCUGGGUGACUGAACCAGAAGCAGGGGGGCUGCUCCCUGCCCGGGGUCGAGAGAGACGAGUCUUCCUCUUUGAGCAAAUCAUCAUCUUCAGCGAGGCCCUAGGGGGAGGGGUCAGGGGUGGGGCACAACCUGGAUAUGUCUAUAAGAACAGCAUCAAGGUCAGCUGUCUGGGCCUAGAGAAGAACACUCAGGGGGAUCCCUGCCGGUUCACUUUGACUUCAAGGGGGCCGGAGGGUGGCGUCCAGCGCUACAUCCUACAGGCUUCGGAUCCAACAAUCACUGAGGCCUGGACUCAGCAUAUAGUCCAGAUUUUGGAAAGUCAGAGGAACUUCCUCAAUGCACUGCAGUCACCGAUUGAGUACCAGCGACGGGAGAGCCAGACUAACAGCUUGGGAAGGAUAGGAGGGUCUGUAGGGGGAAGCCCUGGACGAUUCCGGCUUGGGGACCGAGCCCCAGUCAGCUCACAUACACCCAUCAAUGGCUCCCUCCCUUCCCUGUUGCUGCCCCCAGUGGGGGUGGCUGAAUGCCCCCUGCCUCAGAAUGAACAGGCCCCUCCUGCACCUGAAGACCCUAUCCGCCAGGCCCGGCUGGCCAAGCUGGAUGAAGAUGAGCUAUGACUGGUGACCUCCUCACCUUUUGGGGGUUUUGCUUUAUCAUUGAGGAUGGAGGGAGUGAGGAAAAGCCCUGGGGUCCAUAAAGAAGUUCUGAGAAGUUCAGAAGGAGCCUCUUUACUCCUUCGUAUCCCAGACCUCAAGGACUAGGAACAGAGAGAAAGACUCAGAACUGUGUCCAGCUGCCCCAGUCCUGGGUCUGUAUUCAUCUGCGUGUCCACUAUGUCCAUCUGUCCCCUGGGGGCUCCAUCACAUGGGGUUGUGCUUCCUCACCAGACAAUGGGACUCUGCGUAGGAGGGACUGUGGGGUAAGAGUGGGCAAGGGGCCAGAGCCUCCCUUUGGGCCUGGACCUUAUGCCCCCCUCCUGCUGACAAUGGGAGGAGGGGUCUUAAGGAGGGUGGACAGGACGCAGAGCUCGAUAAGAAGUAAGGGAAACAAUGGAAGGAAUUGAAGCCAAGAGAGGCCGCCCUAGCUCCACCCGACCCCCAGGGUUUUGGGGCCAGGGACUUGGGGGGCCAGAGGGUGACUGGUUGGGGUCUUGAAAUUUGGAAUUUCAGAAGCUGUCAUGGGGUGGAGCAGAAGUCGGAUUAUGAACCUAGGUUUAGGGUUCAGGAAGAACAAAAGGGUUUAUCGAGGAUCAAGAAAGAAGGGAGUCCAGUGUCCAAGAUGUAGGCAAGGUUGAGGGUUAUCUUCAGAGCUCUUCCUUUGCCCUACAGCAACUCCCCCACCCCCUAAUUUCCCCAAAGCAAAAUAUAAGCAGGGAGAAAUCAGAAUCAGAUUGUCUGAGGGACAGUCUUUCUUUCUUACAUUAAAAAUUCAAUAAAAUAAACAGUACCCAAACGGGUGACUCAAGAGUCAAUAAAAAUAAAUGCAUGCCGCGUUACCCAUCCUUUCAGCAUCUGUCCCCAACAUACUGAACUUAGUGUCCAAAUUACCCCCCACUCCCUCAGCCCAGCUAGGUAGUAGCAUUCAUGGAGGACUUUUGAACUAUACUCUCUGUCCCUUUGCCUCUGAAUUUGGGGACUGAUUUUGGACUAAUCGUUUUCCCCUCCUUUUCCUCU